UACGGAGGAUGCGAGCGUUAUCCUGAUUUAUUGGGUUUAAAGGGUGCGCAGGCGGAUUUUUAAGUCAGCGGUCAAAUCGUGGGGCUCAACCCCAUCCAGCCGUUGAAACUGGGGAUCUAGAGUGUGCGAGAGGUAUGCGGAAUGCGUGGUGUAGCGGUGAAAUGCAUAGAUAUCACGCAGAACCCCGAUUGCGAAGGCAGCAUACCGGUGCACAACUGACGCUCAGGCACGAAAGCGUGGGUAUCGAACAGG
This 252-nucleotide ribosomal RNA is filed under the name uncultured bacterium. RNAcentral describes it as "partial 16S ribosomal RNA". It matches the Rfam family "Bacterial small subunit ribosomal RNA", at positions 524 to 776 of the family's 1533-position model. The record is from RNAcentral.